GAUAAUGAAUUUCUAUUAAUUGGAGAUGAGAGUGAGGAAUUCCUGGGAAAUGGGAAAAUAGAGAAGUUGCUUGUGGCAUUUGUUUAAUGAAAUGGACUAAGAAUACUCAAUUGAUAUGAAAUAAAUUACGACAGGGGAAUGGGAAUGAUCUUGAAAGAUGCCGUUCGAGCAAAUUGAAUGGUAUACACUAUUAAUACUUGACAGUUUCGUUGUGAAUGGUGAUGACAAGAUAAUGAAUUUCUAUUAAUUGGAGAUGAGAGUGAGGAAUUCCUGGGAAAUGGGAAAAUAGAGAAGUUGCUUGUGGCAUUUGUUUAAUGAAAUGGACUAAGAAUACUCAAUUGAUAUGAAAUAAAUUACGACAGGGGAAUGGGAAUGAUCUUGAAAGAUGCCGUUCGAGCAAAUUGAAUGGUAUACACUAUUAAUACUUGACAGUUUCGUUGUGAAUGGUGAUGACAAGAUAAUGAAUUUCUAUUAAUUGGAGAUGAGAGUGAGGAAUUCCUGGGAAAUGGGAAAAUAGAGAAGUUGCUUGUGGCAUUUGUUUAAUGAAAUGGACUAAGAAUACUCAAUUGAUAUGAAAUAAAUUACGACAGGGGAAUGGGAAUGAUCUUGAAAGAUGCCGUUCGAGCAAAUUGAAUGGUAUACACUAUUAAUACUUGACAGUUUCGUUGUGAAUGGUGAUGACAAGAUAAUGAAUUUCUAUUAAUUGGAGAUGAGAGUGAGGAAUUCCUGGGAAAUGGGAAAAUAGAGAAGUUGCUUGUGGCAUUUGUUUAAUGAAAUGGACUAAGAAUACUCAAUUGAUAUGAAAUAAAUUACGACAGGGGAAUGGGAAUGAUCUUGAAAGAUGCCGUUCGAGCAAAUUGAAUGGUAUACACUAUUAAUACUUGACAGUUUCGUUGUGAAUGGUGAUGACAAGAUAAUGAAUUUCUAUUAAUUGGAGAUGAGAGUGAGGAAUUCCUGGGAAAUGGGAAAAUAGGGAAGUUGCUCGUGACAUUUGUUUAACGAAAUAGACUGGAAACAUCUGAUCGACCAGAUAUAGAUGACGACAGGAGAAUAUGAUUGAUUUUGAAGGAUGCUGCUCGAGCAGAUUGAACGAUGACAAGUUAAUGAAUUUCUAUUUGUUGGAGAUGUGAGACAGGAAUUCCUGGGAAAUGGGAAAGAUAGAGAAGUUGCUCGUGAUGGUUGUUCAAUGAAAUGGGCUAAGAACAUCCAAUUGAUAUGAAAUAGAUGACGACAGGAGAAUGUGUUUGAUCUUGAAAGAUGCCGUUCGAGCAGGUUGAAUGGUAUACGCUAUUGAUACUUGACGGUUUCGUUGUUAACGAUGAUGACAAGCUAAUGAGUUUCUAUUAAUUGGAGAGGAGAGAGAGGAAUUCCUGGGAAUGGUAAAUAGAGAAGUUGCUCGUGACAUUUGUCCAACGAAAUGGACUAAGAAUAUCCAAUUGAUAUGAAGUAGAUGACGACAGGAGAAUGGGAUUGAUUUUGAAAGAUUCCGUUCGAACGGAUUGAAUGAUAUACACUAUUAAUACUUGACGGUUUCGUUGUUAACUAUGGCAAGGAACUGGGAUUGAUAUGGAAAUAUUCGAGGUUGAGUACUGGUAUUUUAAUGAAAGUUUUAAUUGUUGUAGAUGACAAGACAAUGAAUUUCUAUUAAUUGGAGAUGAGAGAGAGGAAUUCCUGGGAAAUGGAAAAUAGAGAAGUUGCUCGUGACAUUUGUUCAACGAAAUUGACUAAGAAUAUUCAAUUAAUAAGAAAUAGAUGACGACAGGAGAAUGGGAUUGAUUUUGAAAGAUGCCGUUCGAGCAGAUUGAAUGAUAUACACUAUUAAUACUUGACGGUUUCGUUGUUAACGAUGUUGAUAAGCGAAUGAAUUUCUAUUAAUUGGAGAUGAGAGAGAGGAAUUCCUGGGAAAUGGGAAUGAUAGAGAAGUUGCUUGUGACAUUUGUCAAAUGAAAUUGACUAAGAACAUCCAAUUGAUAUGAAAUAGAUGACGUCAGGAGAAUGGGAUUGAUCUUGAAAGAUGCCGUUCGAGCAGAUUGAAUGGUAUACACUAUUAAUAUUUGACGGUUUCGUUGUUAACGAAGAUGACAAGAUAAUGAAGUUCUAUUAAUUGGAGAUGAGAGAGAGGAAUUCCUGGGAAAUGGGAAAAUAGGGAAGUUGCUUGUGACAUGUGUUCAACGAAAUGGACUAGAAACAUCUGAUCGACCAGAUAUAGAUGACGACAGGAGAAUGUGGUUGAUCUUGAAAGUUGCCGUUCGAGCAGAUUGAAAGUUAUACACUAUUAAUAAUUGACGGCUUCGUUGUUAACGAUGUUGACAAGCUAAUGAAUUUCUAUUAAUUGGAGAGGAGAGAGAGGAUUUCCUGGGAAAUGGGAAAAUAGAGAAGUUGCUCGAGACAUCUGUUCAACGUAAUGGACUAAACAUUCGAUUGACUUGAUAUAGAGGAUAACAGGAGAAGGUGACUGACCCUGAAGGAUGCUGCUCGAACGUAUUGAGAGAUGACAAGCUAACGAACUUUUAUUAAUCGGAAAUGAGAGCCAGGAUUUCUAGGAAAGCGGAAAGGAGAAAGGGGUUGUUGGCAGUUUUUGUUUACUGUCUUGGAUUAAUACUUGAUUGGAUCGAUGCAAGCAAUGACAGGAGAACGUGUUUGACCGCGAAAGUUGAUGCUGGAAUAUAUAUUGAGAGGUCAAUAAUUCUUGUACGUAAUGGUCUCACUGUUGAGGUUGAUGAGGGAGAGAAAUUUACGAAGCAGAAAUGAUAGAGAGAUUAUUGGAAAUCUUUGAUUGAUAGUUUGUAAUGAAUAUUUGAUAGUACUGCGGUAGUUGUUGUUGGAGUGUUAUGUUUGAUUGUUUACGAAGGAUGCUUUCUGCAUACGUUGAGCGGUGAAUAGUUUCUUUCUUUUAUCUGAAGAAUUUAUUGUUAACUGCGACAAGGGAGAGGAUUCAGCAAGUGAAGAGAGGAAGAAUGUUAGAGUUGUUUGAGUAUUAAAAGCGAGUGAUGAGAGGGUAUAACGAUGUCAUGGUGCGAGA
This is a long non-coding RNA of Ceratina calcarata, 3022 nucleotides long. RefSeq lists it as uncharacterized. Lineage: Eukaryota; Metazoa; Arthropoda; Insecta; Hymenoptera; Apidae. The record is from RefSeq and is a predicted model, not a curated record. The transcript has 11 exons.